This is a long non-coding RNA of Alligator mississippiensis (American alligator), 4802 nucleotides long. RefSeq lists it as uncharacterized. The record is from RefSeq and is a predicted model, not a curated record. The transcript is spliced from 3 exons. Lineage: Eukaryota; Metazoa; Chordata; Crocodylia; Alligatoridae.
GGGGGGGCACGGCCCUUCCUCCCGGCGCUCGGGUGGCUGUGCCCACACACACACCGCCCCCCCUCCCCCCAGCAGCUCAAGGUGUCCCAGCUGCAGGUCUUGGGGUGUGCCAGAGACCAGACCCCCCUCAGCCAGCCUUGUGCUUCCUUGUGGUGGAGUUAAGCAGGGAAAACCUUGGGGCUUCCCUCCUCUGCUGUGAUCUGGAUACAGAGGGGCACCCCCUAGUGCAGGCAGAGCCAGAGCAAGAGCAAGGACCUCACGUAUUGCCUCCUUCUCCCCAGAGGAGAAGAACUGCUUCCUCCCACCAUGGCCCGCACACACCAGGCCAGGACACACCAAGGCCCCGUCCAGACUCCCUUCUGCAGCAAAGCCCUGGCACUGCCAGCUGGAAGCCGUACCCCACACUUCUGAGAGGAAGCAGGCAGCUCUCUAGUUGAAGGCAGGAAGCCUGCUACACUUUGGAGCCUGGGAUCCAUCACUUGGGGGUCCUGCUACAUGUUCAAAUUCAAGCUGGCUAGACACCAGCUCUAGAGUUCUUACACAUUUUUCAAGUACUAAUUUGAUAGCUGGUUGGCUCUUUUUAUAGUCAUUUUUAUCAUGUGAUAAUGAAAUUGCAAGUGUGGCUGGAUUUGCCAGGUACUUGUGUGAUAUUUACUUUGCACAUGUGGCUGGUCUAAAUUUAUUGCGCAGUUCACCAGUUAAUUGGACCAUAUAUAUAAUGCGUCACAAAAGCCACAGUAUUUCUGCCAUGCACACUCUACACUCUAGCAUGUACCAUUUCCUUUGGCAGACUGUAAUGCCCGUGCUAACGGUCAUUCCAUUGUAGGCACAUGCUAGACAUGAUUUGUAUAAGGGAACUGGACCCCAACUUCCAGUCAUUUGGAUGCUGCAUAGGCCUGUGUGCUUUUAAUGAUUCCAUCUUUUAGCUACAAUUAGCUAUUGAUGUAGCUAGCCAUCACCACUCAUCAUGAGAAAAAGGAGAAAGCAGUGUGAGUGAGGGAAAAAGAAAGACAAGAGCUUCAAAAGCUCUUUGUUUUGCAUGCCUAAAACAAGCAAUGUUGAAAGCAUCUGGUGUUCAUAGGAGUGGCACUUACUGAAGCACCAGAAAACAAUCCCUAAACCAGGGGAUCCUUGACUGUGGUUUGUGGACUACUGGGUAUCCAGAGAUUGCACUGAGCCCUGGGGCCUUUGCAGUGCUUUUAAUCAACAGUUUGAUGAUAUGGGGAGGUGUUUCUCUGCAAGGAAAUUUGAGGGUUGACUGUGGUCCAAAAGGAAUUUGAGGGUUGACUGUGGUUUGUUGGUCCAAAAAAGUUUGUAAAGCACUGUGUUAGACUAGGGCUGUUCAACUCCCAGCUUGCAAGCCACAUCUGGCCCCUGGCACUGUUAUCCAGCUCAUAAGAUUCCCCUGGAUUUGUGGGCAACCCAGCGGGCUGUGGCCCUGUGUGCUGGGUUUGGCAUGCAGGGCAGCAGGGGUCCUGAUCCCAGCAUGCAGGGUCAGGUGGAGGUGGCAAGGGGCCCUAGAGUAUGGUCCUGGUGUAUGGGGCUGGGUGGAGGCAGCAUGGGGCCCCAGAGCCUGCUCUUAGUGUUUGGGAUCCAGUUUGACCCACAGACCAGCCCCAUGCCAUUCAUCUAUCUGGCUUGCACCACUGCAUUAGACAUGUCUGAAAAAAAAUUCUCUUAUGCAUUUGUGUGCACACAUUUGUGUGAACAGACACACACACACACACAGAAGGUGUAUAAAUUCCAUCACUAAAAAUCAAAAUGUCAAAGGUUCUCCCAGGCAUAGGGUUAAGGCACAAUAGUUUCUGCAUCCAAUGGCACCUCAUUUAAGGGAGUGAUGUGCCUAGCAUCACAUCUGGCUACAAUGUUUCUUAAACCAGAUUGUUCACUACAAGCAUUAGGACCUCAUUUCACAAUAAUGUUGAGGAUUUAAACACACAAAUAUAACAACACACAAAAAGUUAGAAGUGCUUUUUUUGACAGCAAAAAAGAAAAAAAAAGGUUUCUACCUGUGCGUGCAUCAGCAUUCUACAGCUGCUUGUACAAACCCAUUCCCCUGUCAAGUCUUGCCUGAAAUCACAUUUCUCCUGUGACAUCACGCAUCCAACUUACAUACAAAGGUGGACAUACUAAGGGCUGGUGCUCCACUUGCUUUCAGUCCACUGUGUAUAUUGCAGGACAGAGUCCUGUCACAUUUACAUUAAUGCAACUUAAUUGGGUCAGAUCUUCUCCCUUGUUACUCAUGUGUACUCCAAACUAGUGCUAUGACAUUACUGCAGGCAUACAUUAAGAUGCAUUUGGUACAAGAGAGUCAUUGAGUACAAUGUUUGAACACUUUCAGGGUAAAGCCUUCCUCCCUGGACCAUAAAGUUAGCCUCCCUCCUAUAUUUGCUUUCCUUCUGGUUCCAUGACUUACAUUCUUGGCUGUCCCAGUGGCUAGCCUCAAGACUGGGCAGUGGAAGUGGGGGUGGUUGACUGAUGGUGCUUACAGCCUUGUCUUUCCAGAGAUGGUUGCUUGGACAUAAAAAGCAUGAGUUCAACACCUCUGAGACUGGGGAGUGGGGAGAGGCUAGAAGCUAGGCCUGAAAGUACUAUAGUCAUUAUUUGUAGAGGAAAAGCAGGAACUGUUUUGUGCUGUCCCAUGUCUAUGUGUAUCUGUUCUGGUCAGAGUCCUGCUAUGUGCAUAGAGGUAUAUAUGCUUCAAGCGGAGGGUCUUAGUACAGGUUAAGAUUUCCCACUGAAAUGAUGGAGAGCCAGACCCUUACCCUAGGGAGCUGAAGGUCCAAUUACAGAGGUGCUGUAAGUAUUGCCCACUGAAAUUGACAGGUUGAGUUGUGUGAUUCUGAAGGGGGAAGUAGAAUCCACUCCUCUGGAUGAAUAAUUUCAGUACUCAGAACCUAAUCCAAAUAUAGGAAAAAUACAGGGCUACAUAAGUGAAAGAGAAUUCCUCCUCAAUUCUGUUCCUUUAAGCCAAGAUUUUGAUAGAUGCUAUACAUUUAAUGAUUACUGUGUGAAACAGAAUUUAGUCUUGGGAGACCAAAAGAUCAGUAGCUGAUAUAUAUCAAACAAGCUACACGUUAAAUAUGAGGUGUGGCAGAGGAAGAAAGAAAAAUGCUUUUAGAUUUGGGUCAUUUGCAAAGGAGAAGGAAGUUUAAACAUUUCAGGGCUUGAUUGUGCACCUCCUAUUCAAGCUGUGUACUACUUAUACAUGGAUAUAGAUAACGUCUUUCUGUGCCUGAUUCUGACAGGACACUGAUGCAUUAUUCUCUCAUUUGUGGUGCAGGAGUGCCCAGUUUCUUUGCUGAGUGCUAUAUAAUCAAAAUGAAAAGAUAGUGACUUCCCUAAGGAACUUAGAGUUUAGCCCGACCACACCAAACUUCAAGAGAGCAACUCUUGUUGUGUAUCUGCAAGUGCAACCUGGAAGAAGCAUUUGGGAUUACCUAAAGGCAAAAUUUGGUCUUAGACAUGGAGGGUGGAGUGGAGACCAGCCCUGCUCCAGAAGAGAUUCAGGAAAGAACAGAGACUAACUGGCCAGCUGACUCUAAGUUGAAGAGGUUGCUUGGAACAACUCUGAGGACAAUGCUUUAAAACAAGGAGGUCAGUUUUUAUCAAGGCCCAGCAAUCAAUGGAGAUCCAGCAGAACCCCACAGGUUCAGGGUUGUGAAGUCAUGCUCCAUCAUACAUGUAAAAAGGCCUAAGGCCAAACAAGCAACCUGUGGACACUGCAGCAUUUUUAAACAGAAGAAGGAACUUACAUUUGUGUCACUUCAGUUCUGCCAAGAUUGGUACACUUGGCUGGAAUUCAAGACCUCUGUCAGAAGUUUGCUUUUUCUGUUCCAUCUUAGUGAUUGGUUUAAAUAGCACCAGACUGUUAUGGAUUAUGGGGGGUUUUGCUUUUCUCUGUAGUUGGGAAUUUGACCCUUUUCCUUGGUACUUUAAAAACCCUUGCACUGGCUGCCAUGGUCCCCUGCUUUACCUGUGGCAUGUUACACCUUGUGGCUGUGUAGCAGGGUUGACAGCAUAGUUUUACUAAUAUGUUAGACAAGAAUUUGUAUGGGAUGGUUUGGGGAGGGAUGAUCCUACUUCUGGCAGGGGGUUGGACUAUAUAACCUCCAGAGAUUCCUUCCAGCCCUACUUUUCUAUGAUUUUAUGACACCACUGGGGAUUUAAUAGUGAUUUUCAAAAGUGGUCUCAGGGAUCUGUAUUUUUUCCCUUUUAUCACUGGACCAGGUUUGCUGAGUCAGAGGUUCCAUCACCCUCUGCUUUGUGUAUAAGCACAUAAAGUCAUACUCUUCUGAUUGGGAAAUUUGCAGCCUAAUGCAGUGAAAUGCCCAAUUGCUUUGGACCUUCAGUGCCUAAUUCUCUUAGGCUCCUUGGAAGUCUGUACCCUUAACUUUGCAAUACAGUUGUCUGUUCAGUCUUAACAUCACACUAAGAGAGAACUGGUAGCAAUUAAUGUAUCCUAAAUCCAACUUUGGAUUGUUGGGGUGAUUUUUUUCCCUCCAUUUAUUUUGAUUUGGAAAAAAAAAAUGUUUCACUGAAUGAUUUUUAAAUAACUUUUCAGUUUUAGAGAAUAAGGAACCCUAUCCUUCUCCCAGUGAAGCUGUUGCCAAACAUCUUAUUAGCUUUAAUAGAAUUAUCAAACCUUUUUAUUAGGAAAAAGCAGAGCAUGUAUAUGUCCUGUUGAUAAUAUGCAAGUGAUAUUUGUUUUCACUGAUAAACUAUGGUUUAUAACAAUGUCACCUGAUUACAUUUUUGUCAUUCAUAACAAUAAAUCCCCCCUCACUUUUCCCAGUGCUUUA